GACGAACGCUGGCGGCGUGCUUAACACAUGCAAGUCGAACGGAAAGGCCCUGCUUUUGUGGGGUGCUCGAGUGGCGAACGGGUGAGUAACACGUGAGUAACCUGUCCUUGACUUUGGGAUAACUUCAGGAAACUGGGGCUAAUACCGCAUAGGAGCUCUUGCUGCAUGGUGGGGGUUGGAAAGUUUCGGCGGUUGGGGAUGGACUCGCGGCUUAUCAGCUUGUUGGUGGGGUAGUGGCAUACCAAGGCUUUGACGGGUAGCCGGCCUGGGAGGGUGACCGGCCACGUCAGAACUGAGAUACGGCCCAGACUCCAACGGGAGGCAGCGGUGGGGAAUAUUGCACUAUGGGCUGGAGGCUGAUGCAACAACGCCGCGUGCGGGAUGACGGCCUUCGGGUUGUAAACCGCUUUCGCCUGUGACGAAGCGUGAGUGACGGUAAUGGGUAAAGAAGCACCGGCUAACUACGUG
Molecule: ribosomal RNA, 468 nt
Filed under: uncultured bacterium
Lineage: Bacteria
Description: partial 16S ribosomal RNA
Rfam family: Bacterial small subunit ribosomal RNA
Source: RNAcentral